AUUGAACGCUGGCGGCAGGCCUAACACAUGCAAGUCGAGCGGAUGAAGGGAGCUUGCUCCUGGAUUCAGCGGCGGACGGGUGGGUAAUGCCUAGGAAUCUGCCUGGUAGUGGGGGAUAACGUCCGGAAACGGGCGCUAAUACCGCAUACGUCCUGAGGGAGAAAGUGGGGGAUCUUCGGACCUCACGCUAUCAGAUGAGCCUAGGUCGGAUUAGCUAGUUGGUGGGGUAAAGGCCUACCAAGGCGACGAUCCGUAACUGGUCUGAGAGGAUGAUCAGUCACACUGGAACUGAGACAAGGUCCAGACUCCUACGGGAGGCAGCAGUGGGGAAUAUUGGACAAUGGGCGAAAGCCUGAUCCAGCCAUGCCGCGUGUGUGAAGAAGGUCUUCGGAUUGUAAAGCACUUUAAGUUGGGAGGAAGGGCAGUAAGUUAAUACCUUGCUGUUUUGACGUUACCAACAGAAUAAGCACCGGCUAACUUCGUG
This 484-nucleotide ribosomal RNA is filed under the name uncultured bacterium. RNAcentral describes it as "partial 16S ribosomal RNA". It matches the Rfam family "Bacterial small subunit ribosomal RNA", at positions 30 to 507 of the family's 1533-position model. The record is from RNAcentral.